This is a non-coding RNA of Dipodomys ordii (Ord's kangaroo rat), 70 nucleotides long. NCBI's taxonomy places the organism in Eukaryota, Metazoa, Chordata, Mammalia, Rodentia, Heteromyidae. The record is from Rfam.
GGGAAGGUAGCUCAGUGGUAGAGCACUUGCCUUGCAUGCUCGAGGCCCUGGGUUCGAUUCCCCAGCACCA